AUGCACUUAGCUCAGUGGUCAGAGCGGCCGCCUGGUGAGUUGGAUGACCAGGUUAGGUUGUGGGUAUGAGCCCCACCGUGCACA
This 84-nucleotide transfer RNA is filed under the name Melampsora larici-populina 98AG31. It matches the Rfam family "tRNA". Rfam says of the family: Transfer RNA (tRNA) molecules are approximately 80 nucleotides in length. Their secondary structure includes four short double-helical elements and three loops (D, anti-codon, and T loops). The record is from Rfam by way of RNAcentral. Lineage: Eukaryota; Fungi; Basidiomycota; Pucciniomycetes; Pucciniales; Melampsoraceae.